UAGAGCGCCUGCUUUGCACGCAGGAGGUCAGGAGUUCGACUCUCCUAGUCUCCACCA
RNAcentral lists this transfer RNA (57 nucleotides) under Acinetobacter baumannii UH9007. Its description in RNAcentral is "tRNA-Ser". It matches the Rfam family "tRNA", at positions 19 to 71 of the family's 71-position model. From Rfam's summary of the family: Transfer RNA (tRNA) molecules are approximately 80 nucleotides in length. Lineage: Bacteria; Pseudomonadati; Pseudomonadota; Gammaproteobacteria; Moraxellales; Moraxellaceae. The record is from RNAcentral.